UGGUGCCCCCUGAGCAGCAUUAAAUAAAAAAGUACUAAUAAUUAAAAGUUACACAACCUAAAGUUGUCAAACAUAUGAAUCUAUCAUUCUCAAAUAUACAUAAUUAUAUGAAUUUUUUGCACCACCACACAAAAUUACCAAGACUAGAAGGCUCACUUUUCCUUAAUCUCAGUUUCAGAAAGUAUAAUUCCAAAAAAGGAUGCCAGUGAAAAUAAUAAUCACCUUGGUUGACCUCCAGUUAUCAAGGCAUGACCUAUGAACAUACUUC
Molecule: unclassified non-coding RNA, 268 nt
Filed under: Hevea brasiliensis (rubber tree)
Lineage: Eukaryota; Viridiplantae; Streptophyta; Magnoliopsida; Malpighiales; Euphorbiaceae
Source: RNAcentral